UGGGACCUAGGAGAUGGGUCUGCUUAUACCUAUCUAAACCCUAAACCAUUCCAUGAUAAGAUGGAUAAUUAUUAAUUUGGGGGUGUUUGGCCGGCGUUUCCCCUGUAAAAUAAUGAAAAAACGUCGAUGAUUACAUAAGGGACUCAUCUCCGAAGUAGACUACAUGGGUUGGGACUGGUUCGUAGGUGGUGCUGUUGAAACUAUGAUUAGUCUCUGCGGUUAACCGUUUCCUCACCUUUCCCUCCCACCCCUAAAUUUUU
RNAcentral lists this non-coding RNA (260 nucleotides) under Arabis alpina (gray rockcress). The record is from RNAcentral. Lineage: Eukaryota; Viridiplantae; Streptophyta; Magnoliopsida; Brassicales; Brassicaceae.